Molecule: long non-coding RNA, 343 nt
Organism: Gopherus evgoodei (Goodes thornscrub tortoise)
Lineage: Eukaryota; Metazoa; Chordata; Testudines; Testudinidae
Exons: 4
Source: RefSeq, a predicted model, not a curated record
UGUGUGGAUCCCAGCUGCUCCCUGCCCCCCUCAUUGAAUCAGAAUUGGAUGAAGAUUCACACCAAAAAAUUGUAACAGAUAUGAACCUCUCAGAAACUGCACCCUACAGAUGAUUUUACCAAAAGUUCCUGCUUUGGAUUAAGGUGGUUCACGCCAACUAAUGAGGUCCCUCUCUGUGGUUAUGCUACAGUGGCAUCAGCUGCUGUUAUUCCAUAUAAAAAUGUGGCGAGCUCAGCAGAACAAGUGACCAUACAGUCCCAGAAUUGCAUAUGAGCUCCAGCAUGGAGCGAACAAAAGACAUGGAUCUGAUUGCUGUAUGAGGAGAAGAAUCUGUGCAGGCAGA